RNAcentral lists this transfer RNA (48 nucleotides) under Andrias davidianus (Chinese giant salamander). RNAcentral describes it as "partial tRNA-Val". The record is from RNAcentral. Lineage: Eukaryota; Metazoa; Chordata; Amphibia; Caudata; Cryptobranchidae.
CAAAGAGUAGCUUAAUAAAAGCAUCUUAUUUACGCUAAGAAAAUAUCU